This is a long non-coding RNA of Vespula vulgaris, 5383 nucleotides long. RefSeq lists it as uncharacterized. Lineage: Eukaryota; Metazoa; Arthropoda; Insecta; Hymenoptera; Vespidae. The record is from RefSeq and is a predicted model, not a curated record. The transcript has 3 exons.
CCCCCUACUCUCAUCUCUUACGGAACAUUCGAUCGCGGAAUAAGAAGUUUUGAUUGACUGGCGUAAAACGUAUACAAAUCAAUAAUGCGAAAAGGAAAAUAUGUAUAACGAAUAAUUUUCUGUAAAUCUAUAUUCUUUUUCACUAUAUAAUAAAGAAAGAGAGAAGCUUGUAAACUUAAAUAAUACGAUGAAAACAGAAGGUAAUAUUACGAAACAAAUUUACAAGCAAUAUUUCUUGUUUGAUAUUAAUAUAUAUUUUUAAAUAUUUUAAACGAUAAAACAGAGAAAAAUAUUAAUAGUCGAUUAUCAAAAUUCUUUAGUUAAUUUCUAAUAGUAAAUUGUAAAGAACAGAAGGUGUGAAAAAAAGAAAAGACCAGAAACGAAAAAAGAAAAAUAAUUUGUCCAGUUAAUGGAAGUAUCAUCGAGAAAUUUUGCUUACUUACUUCCGACCCACGACAUUUCGGCUCUUUCUAUCACAGAAUACGUGGUAUUGAUUAACUGCAUAGAAUAUAAUAACUCCUUCCACCGAGCCACGCCUCAGAAAUUAACUAGUCACCCGAUAUGGCGAUAUUCGGAAGAAAUUCUCCUGCAGAAGUCAUCCUCUCAAUAAUUUUUGAAGGAGUAAUACGCAAAGGUAUACGAGACUAACCGAAGGCAAAAGCAAUUCCAAUUUCUGGGAAGUAUUGCAGAGGAUCCGUAUUGAACGAUAUCUGGAUUCUAAUUACGUCCAAAGAAGAUAUAUGGAUUUCAACUAAGCCCAAUGUGAUCAUUAAACAUUUGACAUCCAAAAUGAUACACUCUUCAAUUGGUACUUCCUGUUCUUCCUCACAUCCGACGAUUCGUUCUACUUGGCUAGUAGAAAUGUCCGAAAGUCAACGAGCGUAGGAAAUGGAAACGUUUACCUCUUCAGACUUAUAUUUAAAUGAUAUUUUAUCAUGGCGACUAGAAUAUUUCUAUUGAUGAACAUUAUUCGAGCAUAUUGAAGCAGAAGAGUGUUUCAAGAGGCAGUUGAAAAUUCUAACAAAGGAAGGAACAUCGUUAGCUAUUGUUCAUGUAUGCAUUAUGUGAUUGUGAAUACCUUGGAAGAGGAAAAAGAAGAAAAUACUUACUUGCUUGACGACGAAGUUUCGAAAGAUCAAUAUGGCGCUGUUUUAUAAAGCUUGGAAGCCUGGUACGGGGAAAUGGGAAGGAUCUUUCUUCUUCAAAGCAUCUAACCGUGAGCUGCUUCAGUUGGAGGGUAUAAGCGAUUGUGCUCAAAAAGAUUUGUCGAUGAGCCGUCCGACGUUCCACGUGGGGCAAGGAUCACAGGGGAAUUAAAAUGAAACUGAGGGACGUUUAUCAUACAAAAUAAUUGAACAGACAGGGACGAUCAAAAGAUUCAUCUUUUUUCAAAGUAAUACCAUUAGUAGGGGAAUACUUUUAAAUUACACGUGAAAUAGAAUGCCCACGUCACGUCAUUGUUGUUCCAUCGAUUUAAAUUAAAUAACCAUUCGAUAUAAUUAAAAAGGUAAAAGUAUUGAAUUCUAUAUUUCAAUCUGUUUGCCGAAAUAUUCACGACAUAUACAUAAAAAAUAUUCGUAAUAUUUAAUUAGAGUUUUUCUUGAAUAUUCAUAUUUGGAUGAAAUAAUUUGAUGCGUAACGUUAAUUACCCAUUUAGUAUCUUAUGAAAGGAAUUUCGUGAUAGUGGAUGUCCGUAAUACGUUCUCCCAUAUUUAUCCUCAAGUACCUUCGUUUAAACCUUUCUCCAUUAUCUCUCUCCAUGUACGUGUGCUCUGGUGCGCGUCUAUCGGCAUCGGAUCGAGUGGCUUGCAUUGAGUGUGCGUGUGUACGUAGAACUCCUGCCUUAUUUUGAUAAUAAGGAAGGUAUUUUUUCAUUUGUUUUCCUGUCAUCAAACCAAGCAAACAAUAGGAGAUUGGCUGUAUAAUUCAAUAACCUAUUUAGAUUCAUUGUUUGAUAACAAGCUUACUUAUUUUGCAGAACAAUAGCCUAUUUUCUUAGGAACCAAUUGAUUUGGAACCUUAUAUAGGAAAUAUUAGAUAAUUAGAAGUGUAAUGGUAUUAUUGUUUUGCAUUCUCCAAUAGGGAGUAACUUUCCGGAACAAUUUAUCCGUUCAUAUGGAAGAAUCAUAUCAGCCGUGGUAUAUCGAUCCGCAAAAGACAAAUGAAAUCAUACAGCUAAAUAGAUAAUUGAAUUAUACCGCUAAUCGUAUUAUCGCAUUGUCUGCUUGGUUUGAUGAGGGGAGAACUAAUGAAAAAAUACCAUCCUUGUUUUCAAAAUAAGUGAGGAGAUGUACGCAAACACGCGCACUCAUUUCCGUCCACUUGACUGGAACACGUAAACGCGCAUGUGCACGGAGAGAGGUAGUAAUAAAUCGUUCAAUAUGAAAGUGCUGAAUGAUAGGUAGGAGAGAACGUAUUCCUCAACGAGCAAAUCGUUAAAUGCCGAUCAAUACCCCUUAACAAGGGAAUUUGUAGUCAUGCAGAAUCAUAUAUUUUUGCAGAAAAAUCACAAUUUUGUCCAUUAUAAUUUUCCAUGAUGUCUGUGAUAAAUGUUGAAUCUAUUCUUUUCCAACAUUAUCAUCCCUCGCAUUAUGCGUGAGGUCUUUCCGUUUUUUUGUUAAAUGUAAUGACUAUCACUCCUAUCGUUUUCUUCCCGAUUAAUAUUUUUUUUUCUAAGAUGUCUGUAUUAAUGUUUGUCUUGAAGCCAAAAUUCUCCUUCGAUAUUACUUAUGGCACGAAACUUACUCGUGUUUGGAAAUUUUGCCAUUCUCUUAAUGAAAAAGAAAUGAGUAAGUAAACAGGUUGGAAGACUGAAAUUGUAUAUUACGAAAUCACGAAACGAUAUAUACCAAAGAAAUAUUACGUUUCUGAUUUUUUGGCUUAUUAGUGUAGGGAACUAUCUGUUUCACUAGAAAUUUCAAUACGACACGAGUUCUGCUUCGCAAAUCUCCCCUCAGUUUCAUGAUUGCUUGUUUACUCCAUCAAAUAUCAUUGCAUGGUACGAAGCGUACUCGCGUACGAUUGCAGACAAGUCAUUAUCGCUCUCUUUAAGUGGUUUAUAGAUGCCCUCAGACCGUUGUGAACGUACUUCUUUUUCAUAAAAUCGACUGACAUUCUUUUCGUAUAACUUGGUAAUUUGCCCAUUUCUUGAUUAACUAACUGAGUGGUUCUCACGAAGGGGAAAUACGGGAAAGAGGGGAAGGUAAUAUUAAGAAACCAUAAAUGUGACGAAAGAUUUUCUCCGAAUUCGUUUUUUAUUAUUAUGGAAUAGCGAAAAUGCUAUCUUCGAUAACUUGAGCAAUAUGCAUUUGUUUACAAGAAAAGGAAAUAAUAUUUGGAGAAAAUGUUUUCAUGCAAUAUGGCAGUAGAUAUAACUUCCGACGAAAAAAUUUUUUAAGAGAGAUGAUUUUACUAUAAGAAUUAUAUAGUAUAUACGUAGUACGAAAAUUGAUAGUGAUAUCAUUAUGAAUAAUAGAAUACUGAUAAUAGAAUACUAUUAAGCAUAAGUCAGACUUACGAGAAAAAUAACAGUGUGAAUUUCCUAUAUUAAUAUCCGAUUAACUUCAUAAGAAUUAGUCUUCAUAAUUACAAUAAUUAUUAUUAUAAUAAUUAAUUAUAUUAUAAAUAAUUAGUUUUAUGUGAUUAUUUCAAUUAAAAAAUAGGCGAAUUAUUGUAAGAUUCUCAUUAGGAAAUUCCAUGAUAUAUUACACAGAUAAUUUCGCAUGAACAUAGAGUAUAUAUACAUAUAAUUACAUAACUAUAGGAGUGGGGAAAUUAUUUAUCCCCAUGCGUUCUAGUUAGAGAAUUAGAUUUUAGGAAGCUUGGUCUUCUAUCCAGCUAACAUGUGGCUAAUUAAACUAGGUUAAGUCAUUCUUUCCGGGAUUUGCGACCCAGUCAUACGCAAGUGUGUCUCAUACGCGAAAUAAUCCCUAGCUAUCAUACAUGACAAGACCAGUUUUACAAAUGACAGAAACGAUUGAAACACCUUUAUCACUAAUCAUUCCAUUAUUCCAUUAAUAUUCAUUAAAUUUGACAUUAUAUUUGUAUAAGAUUUAUUAAAAGAUUUCAUUUCCAUAUUAUAGUACUUAUCGGAUAAUUACUCCCAUUUGGGAUUCGUACCAUUUAGAAUAUUUGAGAUAAAUUCACUUAUAAAUAAUAAUACUUUCUUCGACUGCAUAUAAUCUACGAAAAUAUUCAAUAAAUUAUUAUAAAGUAAAUAAAUAUGUUAUAGACUUUAUAUUCGACAUUACAUUUUAGAACAAAAAAUUUAUCAUAUCUCUAAAAUAUCUUACCAUUAAAUAAACACAGCGUUGAUUGUUUUUCCAUUUAAAAGUAAUUUUAAAAAGGAAAAUGUGUUCAUAUAGUAAUCUUAUUGUUUUUCUGGCAUUUGUACUAUCCAUGUUGUACAAUCGUAUCGUCGUAUGUACGUAAGAAUAGAUAGAAUCAAUGUGAUUGCUUUUCACUUUGGAUGUGCAAUGUUAUAUUAUCUGGUGGAGCGUUGUUUUUCUUUGGAAUUACAAUUCAAAUAUAAAUCAAUUCGGCUCCUUUGCAAUACCUCCAGGCUAUCGGAACUGUUUUCGUCUUCGGUUGGUUUAGUAUAUCUCUGAAACAAUAUAAGAUUCGUAGAUUAGUUAAGACUUACGGAAGCCAUUCAAUUGUUCAUCUAAUUGUAUUGUACUCAAAAAUAAAUUUUGUUACAUCCUUACAUGUGAUAUAAAGUACCUUUUCCGAAAGGCAACAAAUAUUAAUUUAGAUUGUAUUGAUCACGAAAAUCAGUUUCAUUUCUAUAAUAGAAAAUUGAAAUUUUAUAGUAAAUCACGAACUUACGAUUACUAACAAAUUUGCCUUGUAUUGAUAGCUUAAACAAAUGACUAGUAAGAAUGAAGAAAUUGCUUCAAACGCCUGAAUACUUAUAUAACUGAUCUCUGGGACGUAUGAAGUAUGCACGAACGAAUAUUUGUUGUACCACACUCGCUCGCGUAUUACUAGUUCGACAACUACCGAAUGAAUGACCUAUAGCUUCAUCGCCGUCCUCCGAACGGCGGUAUUUAUACCCCGCACAACGCUUUGGGUUGUUAACCGAGCGAAAACGAUGGCACCCUCCGCACAGGGUUAUUACACUUGGCGUAGAUUAAUCAAUAUAUCGAAAAAACCAAAAUGCUGAUAAGUUACGUGGAAAUGAAUUUCUCUAUUGAUCUCUAUUAAUUGGGUGUAUCAUUAUCCUUUUUCUUCUAUGCUCUUCUGUCGUUUGUUUUCUCCCCUCCUUCUCUUUACAAUUUGCAAUUAGAAAUUAAUUAAAGAAUUCUGAAAAUUGCCAAUUAUGUUUCUUCCUGUUUUUGUCGUUAAAAAUAUUUAUGAAUAAGAAUUAAUCUGGAGCAAAGAA